Molecule: ribosomal RNA, 107 nt
Filed under: Calosoma scrutator
Lineage: Eukaryota; Metazoa; Arthropoda; Insecta; Coleoptera; Carabidae
Description: partial 16S ribosomal RNA
Source: RNAcentral
GGCGUAAGCCAGGUCGGUUUCUAUCUUUAAUAAUAUAAAAUAUUUUAGUACGAAAGGACCAAAUAUUUAAUAUAUUUAUAUUUUAUUAAUUGAAUAUCAUUAAAAUU